RNAcentral lists this ribosomal RNA (878 nucleotides) under uncultured bacterium. Its description in RNAcentral is "bacterial SSU rRNA". It matches the Rfam family "Bacterial small subunit ribosomal RNA", at positions 8 to 916 of the family's 1533-position model. The record is from RNAcentral.
AGAGUUUGAUCAUGGCUCAGGAUGAACGCUGGCGGCGUGCCUAACACAUGCAAGUCGAGCGAUCUUCUUCGGAAGAGAGCGGCGGACGGGUGAGUAACGCGUGGGUAACCUGCCUCAUACACAUGGAUAACAUACCGAAAGGUAUGCUAAUACAAGAUGAUAUAAGAGAUUCGCAUGGAUUUCUUAUCAAAGCUCCGGCGGUAUGAGAUGGACCCGCGUCUGAUUAGCUAGUUGGCAAGGUAACGGCUUACCAAGGCGACGAUCAGUAGCCGACCUGAGAGGGUGAUCGGCCACAUUGGAACUGAGACACGGUCCAAACUCCUACGGGAGGCAGCAGUGGGGAAUAUUGCACAAUGGGCGAAAGCCUGAUGCAGCAACGCCGCGUGAGCGAUGAAGGCCUUCGGGUCGUAAAGCUCUGUCCUCAAGGAAGAUAAUGACGGUACUUGAGGAGGAAGCCCCGGCUAACUACGUGCCAGCAGCCGCGGUAAUACGUAGGGGGCUAGCGUUAUCCGGAUUUACUGGGCGUAAAGGGUGCGUAGGUGGUUUCUUAAGUCAGGAGUGAAAGGCUACGGCUCAACCGUAGUAAGCUUUUGAAACUGGGAAACUUGAGUGCAGGAGAGGAAAGUGGAAUUCCUAGUGUAGCGGUGAAAUGCGUAGAUAUUAGGAGGAACACCAGUAGCGAAGGCGGCUUUCUGGACUGUAACUGACACUGAGGCACGAAAGCGUGGGGAGCAAACAGGAUUAGAUACCCUGGUAGUCCACGCCGUAACGAUGAGUACUAGGUGUCGGGGGUUACCCCCCUCGGUGCCGCAGCUAACGCAUUAAGUACUCCGCCUGGGGAGUACGCUCGCAAGAGUGAAACUCAAAGGAAUUGACGG